Molecule: ribosomal RNA, 468 nt
Filed under: uncultured bacterium
Lineage: Bacteria
Description: partial 16S ribosomal RNA
Rfam family: Bacterial small subunit ribosomal RNA
Source: RNAcentral
GACGAACGCUGGCGGCGUGCUUAACACAUGCAAGUCGAACGGAAAGGCCCUGCUUUUGGGGGGUGCUCGAGUGGCGAACGGGUGAGUAACACGUGAGUAACCUGCCCUUGACUUUGGGAUAACUUCAGGAAACUGGGGCUAAUACCGGAUAGGAGCUCCUGCUGCAUGGUGGGGGUUGGAAAGUUUCGGCGGUUGGGGAUGGACUCGCGGCUUAUCAGCUUGUUGGUGGGGUAGUGGCUUACCAAGGCUUUGACGGGUAGCCGGCCUGAGAGGGUGACCGGCCACAUUGGGACUGAGAUACGGCCCAGACUCCUACGGGAGGCAGCAGUGGGGAAUAUUGCACAAUGGGCGGAAGCCUGAUGCAGCAACGCCGCGUGCGUGAUGACGGCCUUCGGGUUGUAAACCGCUUUCGCCUGUGACGAAGCGUGAGUGACGGUAAUGAGUAAAGAAGCACCGGCUAACUACGUG